UCUCUGGUGGUCUGGUGGCUAAGACUCUAUGUUUCCAAUGCAGGGAGCCUGGGUUCAAUUCCUGGUCAGGGAA
Molecule: transfer RNA, 73 nt
Filed under: Bos taurus (domestic cattle)
Lineage: Eukaryota; Metazoa; Chordata; Mammalia; Artiodactyla; Bovidae
Also listed under: 4 other names
Rfam family: tRNA
About the family: Transfer RNA (tRNA) molecules are approximately 80 nucleotides in length. Their secondary structure includes four short double-helical elements and three loops (D, anti-codon, and T loops).
Source: Rfam by way of RNAcentral